GCUCAGGAUGAACGCUAGCUACAGGCUUAACACAUGCAAGUCGAGGGGCAGCAUGGUCUUAGCUUGCUAAGGCUGAUGGCGACCGGCGCACGGGUGAGUAACACGUAUCCAACCUGCCGUCUACUCUUGGCCAGCCUUCUGAAAGGAAGAUUAAUCCAGGAUGGGAUCAUGAGUUCACAUGUCCGCAUGAUUAAAGGUAUUUUCCGGUAGACGAUGGGGAUGUGUUCCAUUAGAUAGUAGGCGGGGUAACGGCCCACCUAGUCAACGAUGGAUAGGGGUUCUGAGAGGAAGGUCCCCCACAUUGGAACUGAGACACGGUCCAAACUCCUACGGGAGGCAGCAGUGAGGAAUAUUGGUCAAUGGGCGAUGGCCUGAACCA
RNAcentral lists this ribosomal RNA (379 nucleotides) under uncultured Bacteroides sp. RNAcentral describes it as "bacterial SSU rRNA". It matches the Rfam family "Bacterial small subunit ribosomal RNA", at positions 22 to 390 of the family's 1533-position model. The record is from RNAcentral. Lineage: Bacteria; Pseudomonadati; Bacteroidota; Bacteroidia; Bacteroidales; Bacteroidaceae.